GGGAUAUGAUGAGUGGUCAUUACUCGCAAGCGUUGCGAGAUGGGUGUCCGCCCCAAAGCCUGGUUACGACACUUUGGCACUCCCAUUUUUACCAUCUGAUCCC
This 103-nucleotide small nucleolar RNA is filed under the name Gossypium hirsutum (cotton). RNAcentral describes it as "Small nucleolar RNA Z279/snoR105/snoR108". It matches the Rfam family "Small nucleolar RNA Z279/snoR105/snoR108". Rfam says of the family: This family includes the plant snoRNAs known as Z279, snoR105 and snoR108. All three are members of the C/D class of snoRNA which contain the C (UGAUGA) and D (CUGA) box motifs. Lineage: Eukaryota; Viridiplantae; Streptophyta; Magnoliopsida; Malvales; Malvaceae. The record is from Rfam by way of RNAcentral.